GACGUAGGGCGCGAGCGUUUGUCCGGAUUUAUUGGGCGUAAAGAGCUCGUAGGCGGCUUGUCGCGUCGACUGUGAAAGCCCGCGGCUCAACCGCGGGUCUGCAGUCGAUACGGGCAGGCUAGAGUUCGGUAGGGGAGACUGGAAUUCCUGGUGUAGCGGUGAAAUGCGCAGAUAUCAGGAGGAACACCGAUGGGCGAAGGCAGGUCUCUGGGCCGAUACUGACGCUGAGGAGCGAAAGCGUGGGGAGCGAACAGG
This 255-nucleotide ribosomal RNA is filed under the name uncultured bacterium. RNAcentral describes it as "partial 16S ribosomal RNA". It matches the Rfam family "Bacterial small subunit ribosomal RNA", at positions 524 to 776 of the family's 1533-position model. The record is from RNAcentral.